Dromaius novaehollandiae (emu) is the source of this 526-nucleotide long non-coding RNA. RefSeq lists it as uncharacterized. Lineage: Eukaryota; Metazoa; Chordata; Aves; Casuariiformes; Dromaiidae. The transcript has 2 exons. The record is from RefSeq and is a predicted model, not a curated record.
GGUCCAGAGUGCUACUUCCUAGGAAGAUCUGUGCUGACCUCCUGUGGGUGGAAGCAAGUGCAUCCAAAUCGCUCACUACUUUCUUGCCCCAGCCAGCAGGUGAUGAUUUUGGACCUACUUCCAAGUGCACAGGUGAAAACUGGAAAACUGCAUUUGGUCCUUCUGCUCUGCUCAGGAACCCCUGUCUCUAUCAAGUAAAUGAUUGUUUCUUCCUGAAAUGUUCUGUUGAAGGUCAAAAGUUUUAAAGAUCUCUUUUCUGAGUUUGUGGUCAAUGUCACAUACCAUGAAGACAAGGAAGGAAAGACACGCUCUCUUGUACUAAAAAAAGAAAAAAGAAGUCAUUACAUUGGAAGAGGCCCGUUCCCAAGAUUUUUCAACUCUGAGGGAGUGUCAGUCAAGCUAUGAAUGAAAGGACAGUUUGUCAUUUGUGUAGACAGCACCUGGGGAACAGAUACACACUGUAACUUCUUGUAUGUCUGCAGAGACAAACAUCAACAAAAUGGUUAAUAAAGUUAUUAAACACAGA